AUAACAUCAUUUUCACGUAGACAUUCCUCAAAUGAAUCUCGGUCUUUGCAAUGAAACAUUUUGAACAGAUUUUCAGGGCGACGAAUGAGAAUGCAGCCUACACGUAAACGAACGAUCACAACAACAACAAAGAUCAAUCUGUGAUAUCUUCUCUGUGAUGUCAUUCUUAUAGUAGCUGUGGUUCAAUGUUCAGAUGUGCAUGAAGAGAAUUUACCUGUAACACCUGGGAUUACCUGUGCCGUCCAAGAUGACAAGACCACCGUGUUAUGUUUACCUUGUAUCUGUGAUUU
Haliotis rufescens (red abalone) is the source of this 290-nucleotide long non-coding RNA. RefSeq lists it as uncharacterized. The transcript has 3 exons. Lineage: Eukaryota; Metazoa; Mollusca; Gastropoda; Lepetellida; Haliotidae. The record is from RefSeq and is a predicted model, not a curated record.